GACGAACGCUGGCGGUGUGCUUAACACAUGCAAGUCGAACGGUAAGGCCCUUUCGGGGGUAUCCGACUGGUGAACGGGUGCGUAACACGUGAGUAAACUGCCCUCUUUACUGUGUUAACAGGCGGAAACGGUUGCUAAUACCGGUAAUACGCCUGCCAGGCAUCUUGUGGGAUGGAAAGAUCUUUUUGGUUGGGGCUGGGCUCGCGGCCUAUCAGCUUGUUGGUGGGGUAGUGGGUCACCAAGGCCUCGACAGGUAGACGGACUGUGAGGGCGAGCGGCGACAUUGAGACUGAGGUACGGCCCAAACUGCUACGGGAGGCAGCAGUGGGGAAUAUUGCACAAUGGACAGCGGUCUGAUGCAGCAGCGCCGCGUGCGGGAUGACGGCCUUCUGGUUGUAGACCGCUUUCAAUUGUGACGAAGCUUUUUGUGACGGUAGCAGUAGAAGAAGCACCGGCUAACUACGUG
Molecule: ribosomal RNA, 466 nt
Filed under: uncultured bacterium
Lineage: Bacteria
Description: partial 16S ribosomal RNA
Rfam family: Bacterial small subunit ribosomal RNA
Source: RNAcentral